RNAcentral lists this long non-coding RNA (635 nucleotides) under Ornithorhynchus anatinus (platypus). RNAcentral describes it as "lncRNA (ENSOANG00000045192.1)". The record is from RNAcentral. Lineage: Eukaryota; Metazoa; Chordata; Mammalia; Monotremata; Ornithorhynchidae.
AUGGCCAGGAAUAGAUCUAUGAUCAGUGGAAAUUUCGCUGACUGUACUUGUUCCCAGCGGAAAAGAAUUGGUUUCCCCAAAACAUAUGCAAAAAUGCCCCGAGACCAGUGUGAACCUAUAGUCUCUGGAAGACCAAAUUUAAGGACUCCCAAGAUGCGUUCUACAGAGGGGUGUAACCCAAUUUUAUUCUCACCCCCCUGUUCUUCUCAAAUGUCUUCAGGAAGCAGUUUCAAAUGUAGGAGAAGGAGCACAAAGAAAAGUAAUUCAAAGAUUCUAAACUCCGCUUUGGACCGUGCCCUACAGACUGCAGUCGGCUUAAAAAAGACGACGGAACGGAUGAUUCGAGAAGUGGCAGAGGAUCUGGAUAAAUUUCAGAAUCAGAAAAGUCAGGAACAAUUUUAGCCCCUGCACGGUCUGAUCUGAGAGGAUAUGAAAUGUGACGUUUCCAGAGAUGCACGGACUCCAUAAUGGUUGGAGGCUUGAAAAAGUGGUGCGCAGCCCCUCAUUUUCCAGGAACUUAGAUGGCGUCGGCAGAGCUGCUUCCCAACUCUGUUUAACACAGGCAGCAGCUACUGCAGUUUGUGGGCUGGAGAGAAGAGUCAAUCCAAAAGCAAUGGAAUUCUCCACAUCAUCCG